GACGAACGCUGGCGGCGUGCUUAACACAUGCAAGUCGAACGGAAAGGCCCUGCUUUUGUGGGGUGCUCGAGGGGCGAACGGGGGAGUAACCCGUGGGUAACCUGCCCUUGACUUUGGGAUAACUUCAGGAAACUGGGGCUAAUACCGGAUAGGAGCUCCUGCCGCAUGGUGGGGGUUGGAAAGUUUCGGCGGUUGGGGAUGGACUCGCGGCUUAUCAGCUUGUUGGGGGGGUAGUGGCUUACCAAGGCUUUGACGGGUAGCCGGCCUGGGAGGGGGAGCGGGCACGUGAGGACUGAGAUAAGGCACAGCCUCGAAUGGGAGGCAACGGGGGAGAGUAUGACACAACGGGGGGGAGCGAGAUGUGAAAACGCCGCGAGCGGUAUGACGGGCUUCGGGUUGUGAACCAAUGUCGCCUGAGACGAGGCGUGAGUGACGGUAACGGGUAAAGAAGCACCGGCUAACUACGUG
This 468-nucleotide ribosomal RNA is filed under the name uncultured bacterium. RNAcentral describes it as "partial 16S ribosomal RNA". It matches the Rfam family "Bacterial small subunit ribosomal RNA", at positions 28 to 507 of the family's 1533-position model. The record is from RNAcentral.